Molecule: ribosomal RNA, 119 nt
Filed under: Pteropus alecto (black flying fox)
Lineage: Eukaryota; Metazoa; Chordata; Mammalia; Chiroptera; Pteropodidae
Source: RNAcentral
GUCUACAGCCAUGCCACCCUGAACACGCCCGAUCCCGUCUGAUCUCGCAAGCUAAGCAGCGGCAGGCCUGGUUAGUACUUGGAUGGGAGACCACCUAGGAAGGCCAGGUGCUGUAAGCA